Molecule: ribosomal RNA, 505 nt
Filed under: uncultured bacterium
Lineage: Bacteria
Description: partial 16S ribosomal RNA
Rfam family: Bacterial small subunit ribosomal RNA
Source: RNAcentral
GACGAACGCUGGCGGCGUGCCUAAUACAUGCAAGUAGAACGCACAGUUUAUACCGUAGCUUGCUACACCAUAGACUGUGAGUUGCGAACGGGUGAGUAACGCGUAGGUAACCUGCCUGGUAGCGGGGGAUAACUAUUGGAACCGAUAGCUAUUACCGCAUAAUAUUAAUUAUUGCAUGAUAAUUAAUUAAAGGGUGCAAUUGCACCACUACCAGAUGGCCCUGCGUUGUAUUAGCUAGUAGGUGAGGUAACGGCUCACCUAGGCGACGAUACAUAGCCGACCUGAGAGGGUGAUCGGCCACACUGGGACUGAGACACGGCCCAGACUCCUACGGGAGGCAGCAGUAGGGAAUCUUCGGCAAUGGACGAAAGUCUGACCGAGCAACGCCGCGUGAGUGAAGAAGGUUUUCGGAUCGUAAAGCUCUGUUGUAAGAGAAGAACGGGUGUGAGAGUGGAAAGUUCACACUGUGACGGUAUCUUACCAGAAAGGGACGGCUAACUACGUG